This 518-nucleotide ribosomal RNA is filed under the name uncultured bacterium. RNAcentral's name for it is "partial 16S ribosomal RNA". It matches the Rfam family "Bacterial small subunit ribosomal RNA", at positions 355 to 889 of the family's 1533-position model. The record is from RNAcentral.
UGGGGAAUAUUGCACAAUGGGCGAAAGCCUGAUGCAGCAACGCCGCGUGAGUGAUGAAGGUCUUCGGAUUGUAAAGCUCUGUCUUUUGGGACGAUAAUGACGGUACCAAAGGAGGAAGCCACGGCUAACUACGUGCCAGCAGCCGCGGUAAUACGUAGGUGGCGAGCGUUGUCCGGAUUUACUGGGCGUAAAGGGUGCGUAGGCGGAUGUUUAAGUGAGAUGUGAAAUACCCGGGCUUAACUUGGGUGCUGCAUUUCAAACUGGAUAUCUAGAGUGCAGGAGAGGAGAAUGGAAUUCCUAGUGUAGCGGUGAAAUGCGUAGAGAUUAGGAAGAACACCAGUGGCGAAGGCGAUUCUCUGGACUGUAACUGACGCUGAGGCACGAAAGCGUGGGUAGCAAACAGGAUUAGAUACCCUGGUAGUCCACGCCGUAAACGAUGAGUACUAGGUGUAGGAGGUAUCGACCCCUUCUGUGCCGCAGUAAACACAUUAAGUACUCCGCCUGGGAAGUACGAUCGC